GGUUCCAUAGUGUAGCGGUUAGCACAUCUGCUUUACAUGCAGAAGGUCCUGGGUUUGUGCCCCAGUGAAGCCA
RNAcentral lists this transfer RNA (73 nucleotides) under Pteropus alecto (black flying fox). It matches the Rfam family "tRNA". Rfam says of the family: Transfer RNA (tRNA) molecules are approximately 80 nucleotides in length. Their secondary structure includes four short double-helical elements and three loops (D, anti-codon, and T loops). Lineage: Eukaryota; Metazoa; Chordata; Mammalia; Chiroptera; Pteropodidae. The record is from Rfam by way of RNAcentral.